This 497-nucleotide ribosomal RNA is filed under the name uncultured bacterium. Its description in RNAcentral is "partial 16S ribosomal RNA". It matches the Rfam family "Bacterial small subunit ribosomal RNA", at positions 28 to 507 of the family's 1533-position model. The record is from RNAcentral.
GAUGAACGCUGGCGGCGUGCCUAAUACAUGCAAGUCGAGCGAACGGAUGAGAAGCUGGCGUCUCUGAUGUUAGCGGCGGACGGGUGAGUAACAUGUGGAUAACCUACCUAUAAGACAGGGAGAACUUCGGGAGACCGUAGCUAAGGCCGGAUAAUAUUUUGAACAGCAUGGGUCAAAAGUGAAAUACGGUCUUGCUGUCACUUAUAGAUGGAAACGCGCUGCAUUAGCUAUUUGGUAAGGUAACGGCUUACCAAGGCAACGAUGCAUAACCGACCUGACAGCGUGCUCGGGCACACUGGAACUGAGACACGGCCCAGCCGCCUAUGGGAGGCAGCCGAAGCGCCUACGCGGGGCUGCGGGAAAGAAUGACGCACAAAGGCCGCGUGAGUGAUGAAGGUCUUCCGCUCGUAAGACGAUGUUAUUAGGGUAGAAAAUAUGUGUAAGUAACUGAGCACAUCUUGACGGUACCUAAUCAGAAAGCAACGGCUAACUCCGUG